Long non-coding RNA from Macaca fascicularis (crab-eating macaque), 1944 nucleotides. The record is from Ensembl. NCBI's taxonomy places the organism in Eukaryota, Metazoa, Chordata, Mammalia, Primates, Cercopithecidae.
GUCCACUGGUUACAGCUUUCAACACGAAAGGAGCUCCAGGGCACUGGCAGCUCCUACUACAGAGUGGCUGGGCUGGGCUGGGCCAGAAAAGCCAUGAGGUGAGAUCCCUCCCAUUCCAGCUUCAGAACUGCAUGUUCUACCUGACGUCGGAGAUGAAAACUGGCCUUCUAUUCCCAUGGGUUUACUUGAAGAUACACGUUUUACUCCUGAUGCCUUGCAAGAUUUGCAGAGACGUUCAACACGUGCCGAAACAUUAGGUUUUCUGCUUCAAGAAAUACUCCCUCAUCAUCCUUUUUCAUCUGGUCUUAGUGUAUGCAGUUCACCUGGCAGUCGCUUCUAUGCAGCAACCAGAGUCACCUUUUAAAAUGUAAUCAGACUUCCAAUCCCAGACAUGAUGGAACAAUAAAUAUCAGACUGACUCUUCUUUCCCAAGCAAUUGUGAUAUCGGAUAGAAUGCAUGAAGGAACUGGUUUCAAGAAUGGAACAACACUCAGUGCAGGUCUUUGAUCCAACCGGAAGCUUGUGAGUCAAGCCCCACAUUCAUGCUGGCUUUCUGUCUGAGAGCGCCCUCGAAACCAAGGCGCAGGGAAGCAGAGGUCACCAGAGAGCCAAGCACAAGCAGCAGAGAUCAGAGUACAGGCAGCUGGAACUUGCCGGGGAGGGUAGUGGAGAGGAGGGUUCUGAGCAGAGCAGGGACUUCAGAUGUCCUCAAAGUGAUCUUGAGUCUUGGCCAAAUGCUAGGCUGCAUUUGCACGGGGAACGAGUCUUUGAGGCUCGGCGGAGAACAACUACUGGGCAGGACGUUGCGGGGAGGAUGGUGAGCUAAACACAACCUGGAAGUCACACAGUCACAUUGUGCUGGGAGACUAAGAGUUUUUGUUUUGUUUUAUUUGUUUUUUGUUUUUUUUUUCCCCCUGAGAUGGAGUUUCACUGUUGUCGCCUAGGCUGGAGUUCAGUGGCAUGAUCUUGACUCACUGCAACCUCCGCCUCCUGGGUUCAAGUGAUUCUCCUGCCUCAGCCUCCCGAGUAGCUGGGAUUAUAGGUGCCCACAACCAUGCCCAGCUAAUUUUUGUAUUUUUAGUAGAGAAGGGAUUUCACCGUGUUGGCCAGGCUGGUCUUGAACUCCUGACCUCAGAUGAUCAACCCGCCUCAGCCUCCCAAAGUGCUGGGAUUACAGGCGUGAGCCACUGCACCCAGCCAAGACUUAGGGUUCCAAUCUGCUAGAGUGAUGAGACCUUACUGAGCACCUUGAACGUUGAAUCCGAGAUCACAGAAAGGUCAUACAUUAGGAAUAAGAUUGCUCUAGCCCCAAGACCACGCUAAACUCUCCAUAACAAAACCUAAAAAUAAGCCUUGUUAGGAUCCAGAUGCUAUGCCAGUCAAGUAACUCUCUGCCAGAAUAAAACUCAGCACUCUUCAAACAAAUUAUUAUCUGCAAUAGCCAGCAUACAAUUUAAAAAAUCACUAGACAGGCAGGACAGGAGACUAAUAACGAAGAGAAAAGAUCAAUAAAUACCAACCCAUACAAACAUAGUGGGUGCACAAACAGGAAUUUCAGCAGAGAAGUGGCAAUUUAAGAAACAACUAAAUGGUCAUUCCCAAACUAGAACAUAUAAUAUCUCAAAUGAAGAAUUCACUGGAUGGAUGGCCAGGCGCGACGGCUCACACCUGUAAUCCCAGCACUUUGGGAGGCCGAGGCAGGCAGAUCACCUGAGGUCAGGAGUUUGAGACUAGCCUGGUCAACAUGGCAAAACCCUGUCUGUACUAAAAAUACAAAAAUGAGCCUGAUGUGGUGGUACACACCUGUAGUCCCAGCUACUCAGGAGGCUGAGGCAGGAGAAUUGCUUGAACCCAUGAGGUGAAGGUUGCAGUGAGCCAAGAUUGUGCCACUGCACUCCAGCUUGGGUGACAGAGCGAGACUGUGUCAAAAAAAAAAAAGAAAAA